CAGUCCUCACCUCUCCCUCGCGCCCUCCCUUCUCUAUCGCGUCCUCACCUCUCCCUUCUCGCAUCUCGCACGUCUCCCAUCCCCUCUGCGCCGCCAGACCCUCUCUCUCGCCCAGAUCCCGCCCCAACCCCGCGCCUCCGCUCCCUGCAUCGACCAUCGCCGCCAUCGCUGCUCCCUUCGUCACCGGCCCCCACCUUGCCUCCGCCGUGGCCGGGAUCCACGGGUCCACCUCGUCUUCGACCGCGGCAGGGAUGGCGUCGGUGCCGAGAUGGCAUCACGCAAGGAAGAUCCGCCCACCCGGGCUUCCCGGUAACCGAGUUCAGCUCAUGUGACGAGUAGCGGCAUCGUUCGCCCGCGCAGCUUCCGCUCUGCUGUGCUGAUUCCAGUUAAUUGAACAAACCAUUUUACGGUUUCUUUUGCCAAGCGGAUCGACGAGCCAGCAACCCACAGACCAUGUUAGCGGCCUGGUGCAAGUGGUAGUGCUUGCCGCCUGUGAACCGAGAGGUCACAGGUUCGAGCGGUGGCCUCUACACAUUGCACGGUGUGUGGGAAAGACCUCCCGCUAAUAACCUCUCCCAGACCCCGCACAGUGUGGGAGCCUACGGCACUGGGUACGUCCUUUUUUUAUGCAGAUUCAAAUGAUAAAUGGCCAAAUUCUUACUUCGAUGCAUACAAGAGCGGAUAAAGAAGCAAUGACGUUUAUGGAUACUAGAUAUUUAUCUUUACAUAUUAAUUUUUCUAGUAGUAUGGACUUGUACUCUUCACUACUAAAUGUAAAUUUUCUCUUUAGUAGAAUUGUAUAUUUAUGUGUAUGUUCCAUCAUAUGAUGUGAACAAAUACUAUGUUUGUAACCUUAGCUAUGAUUAAUGAAAUUUAUGUUCAGAGCGACUC
This is a long non-coding RNA of Panicum virgatum (switchgrass), 891 nucleotides long. RefSeq lists it as uncharacterized. Lineage: Eukaryota; Viridiplantae; Streptophyta; Magnoliopsida; Poales; Poaceae. The transcript has 4 exons. The record is from RefSeq and is a predicted model, not a curated record.